UACAGAGGCCUCAAGCGUUGUUCGGAUUCAUUGGGCGUAAAGGGUGCGUAGGCGGCGCGGUAAGUCGGGUGUGAAAUCUCGGAGCUUAACUCCGAAACUGCAUUCGAUACUGCCGUGCUUGAGGACUGGAGAGGAGACUGGAAUUUACGGUGUAGCGGUGAAAUGCGUAGAUAUCGGGAGGAACACCAGUGGCGAAGGCGACUUCCUGGCCUGUUCUUGACGCUGAGGCGCGAAAGCUAGGGGAGCAAACGGG
RNAcentral lists this ribosomal RNA (253 nucleotides) under uncultured bacterium. RNAcentral's name for it is "partial 16S ribosomal RNA". It matches the Rfam family "Bacterial small subunit ribosomal RNA", at positions 524 to 776 of the family's 1533-position model. The record is from RNAcentral.